GAUGAAGAACGCAGCGAAAUGCGAUAAGUAAUGUGAAUUGCAGAAUUCAGUGAAUCAUCGAAUCUUUGAACGCACAUUGCGCCCCUUGGUAUUCCGAGGGGCAUGCCUGUUCGAGCGCCAUUAUAACCCUCAAGCUCAGCUUGGUGUUGGGGCCUGCUGCACUGGCAGCCCUUAAAAUCAGUGGCGGCGCCAUCUGGCUCUAAGCGUAGUAAUUCUUCUCGCUAUGGAGUCCUGGUGGAUGCUUGCCAUCAACCCCCAAUUUUUCUAUGGUUGACCUCGGAUCAGGUAGGGAUACCCGCUGAACUUAAGCAUAUCAAUAAGCGGAGGA
RNAcentral lists this unclassified non-coding RNA (328 nucleotides) under soil metagenome. RNAcentral describes it as "partial contains 5.8S ribosomal RNA, internal transcribed spacer 2, and large subunit ribosomal RNA". The stretch from base 1 to 120 matches the Rfam family "5.8S ribosomal RNA", at positions 35 to 154 of the family's 154-position model. The record is from RNAcentral.